Pongo abelii (Sumatran orangutan) is the source of this 159-nucleotide unclassified non-coding RNA. It matches the Rfam family "Metazoan signal recognition particle RNA". From Rfam's summary of the family: The signal recognition particle (SRP) is a universally conserved ribonucleoprotein. It is involved in the co-translational targeting of proteins to membranes. The eukaryotic SRP consists of a 300-nucleotide 7S RNA and six proteins: SRPs 72, 68, 54, 19, 14, and 9. The record is from Ensembl. NCBI's taxonomy places the organism in Eukaryota, Metazoa, Chordata, Mammalia, Primates, Hominidae.
GCUAGGCACAGUAGUGUGUGCCUGUAUUCCCAGCUACUCCAGAGGCUGAGGUGGGAGGAUCCUUUGAGCUCAGGAGUUCCAGGCUGUAAUGUGCUACGUUCCUGCCUGUGAACAGCCACUACACUCUAGCCUGGGCAACAUAGUGGAACCCCAUCUCUA